GAGUUUGAUCGUGGCUCAGGACGAACGCUGGCGGCGUGCCUAAUACAUGCAAGUCGAGCGAGGGUUUUUAAGACCCUAGCGGCGGACGGGUGAGUAACACGUAGGCAACCUGCCUCUCAGACCGGGAUAACAUAGGGAAACUUAUGCUAAUACCGGAUAGGUUUUUGGAUUGCAUGAUCCGAAAAGAAAAGAUGGCUUUUUGCUAUCACUGGGAGAUGGGCCUGCGGCGCAUUAGCUAGUUGGUGGGUAACGGCCUACCAAGGCGACGAUGCGUAGCCGACCUGAGAGGGUGACCGGCCACACUGGGGCUGAGACACGGCCAGACUCCUACGGGAGGCAGCAGUAGGG
RNAcentral lists this ribosomal RNA (348 nucleotides) under uncultured microorganism. Its description in RNAcentral is "bacterial SSU rRNA". It matches the Rfam family "Bacterial small subunit ribosomal RNA", at positions 9 to 359 of the family's 1533-position model. The record is from RNAcentral.